This 467-nucleotide ribosomal RNA is filed under the name uncultured bacterium. Its description in RNAcentral is "partial 16S ribosomal RNA". It matches the Rfam family "Bacterial small subunit ribosomal RNA", at positions 28 to 506 of the family's 1533-position model. The record is from RNAcentral.
GACGAACGCUGGCGGCGUGCUUAACACAUGCAAGUCGAACGGAAAGGCCCUGCUUUUGUGGGGUGCUCGAGUGGCGAACGGGUGAGUAACACGUGAGUAACCUGCCCUUGACUUUGGGAUAACUUCAGGAAACUGGGGCUAAUACCGGAUAGGAGCUCCUGCUGCAUGGUGGGGGUUGGAAAGUUUCGGCGGUUGGGGAUGGACUCGCGGCUUAUCAGCUUGUUGGUGGGGUAGUGGCUUACCAAGGCUUUGACGGGUAGCCGGCCUGAGAGGGUGACCGGCAACAUUGGGACUGAGAUACGGCCCAGACUCCUACGGGAGGCAGCAGUGGGGAAUAUUGCACAAUGGGCGGAAGCCUGAUGCAGCAACGCCGCGUGCGGGAUGACGGCCUUCGGGUUGUAAACCGCUUUCGCCUGUGACGAAGCGUGAGUGACGGUAAUGGGGAAAGAAGCACCGGCUAACUACGU